UACGAAGGGGGCUAGCGUUGUUCGGAAUCACUGGGCGUAAAGCGCGCGUAGGCGGAUUGUUAAGUCGGGGGUGAAAUCCCGAGGCUCAACCUCGGAACUGCCUUCGAUACUGGUAAUCUUGAGUCCGGGAGAGGUGAGUGGAACUCCUAGUGUAGAGGUGAAAUUCGUAGAUAUUAGGAAGAACACCAGUGGCGAAGGCGGCUCACUGGCCCGGAACUGACGCUGAUGUGCGAAAGCGUGGGGAGCAAACAGG
RNAcentral lists this ribosomal RNA (253 nucleotides) under uncultured bacterium. RNAcentral describes it as "partial 16S ribosomal RNA". It matches the Rfam family "Bacterial small subunit ribosomal RNA", at positions 524 to 776 of the family's 1533-position model. The record is from RNAcentral.